CUGCGAAUGGCUCAUUAUAUAAGUUAUCGUUUAUUUGAUAAUACUUUACUACUUGGAUAACCGUGGUAAUUCUAGAGCUAAUACAUGCUGAAAAUCCCGACUUCGGAAGGGAUGUAUUUAUUAGAUUAAAAACCAAUGCCCCUCGGGGCUCUCUGGUGAAUCAUGAUAACUAGUCGAAUCGACAGGCCUUGUGCCGGCGAUGGCUCAUUCAAAUUUCUUCCCUAUCAACUUUCGAUGUUUGGGUAUUGGCCAAACAUGGUGGCAACGGGUAACGGAGGGUUAGGGCUCGACCCCGGAGAAGGAGCCUGAGAAACGGCUACUACAUCCAAGGAAGGCAGCAGGCGCGCAAAUUACCCAAUCCCGACACGGGGAGGUAGUGACAAUAAAUACUGAUACAGGGCUCUUUUGGGUCUUGUAAUCGGAAUGAGUACAAUUUAAAUCCCUUAACGAGGAACAAUUGGAGGGCAAGUCUGGUGCCAGCAGCCGCGGUAAUUCCAGCUCCAAUAGCGUAUAUUAAAGUUGUUGUGGUUAAAAAGCUCGUAGUUGAACCUUGGGCCUGGCUGGCCGGUCCGCCUCACCGCGUGCACUGGUCCGGCCGGGCCUUUCCCUCUGCGGAACCCCAUGCCCUUCACUGGGUGUGGCGGGGAAACAGGACUUUU
This 659-nucleotide ribosomal RNA is filed under the name Trichoderma sp. RNAcentral describes it as "SSU rRNA". It matches the Rfam family "Eukaryotic small subunit ribosomal RNA", at positions 87 to 752 of the family's 1831-position model. Lineage: Eukaryota; Fungi; Ascomycota; Sordariomycetes; Hypocreales; Hypocreaceae. The record is from RNAcentral.